AUGGAGUUUGUAGUGAGUGCUUCGGAAGCCACCAUGAGGUCUCUCCUAGGCAAGUUGGGCAGCCUCCUUGCCCAAGAGUACACUCUGAUCCGUGGCGUCCGCGGUGACAUCCAAUACAUCAGUGAUGAGCUCGCCAGCAUGCAGGCUUUUCUUGGCGACCUCGGCUCUGCCCUGGACAACCACGAUCGCCGGCUCAAGAACUGGAUGAGGCAGAUCCGUGACAUGGCAUACGACAUGGAAGACUGCAUCGAUGACUUUGCUCAUCGCCUCCCUCGGGACUCCCUCAGCGACGUAAGAUGUUCCUUCCUGGUGAUGGCAGUCUACGAGGUGUGGACAUUCAGGCCUCGCCGCGACAUUGCUUCCAAGAUUGCCGAGCUCAAGGUCCGAGCACAAUACAUUGCUGAGAGGCGCAACAGAUAUGGAGUGGACAACCCAAACACAAGAACAAGCUCCCAAGACGGAGCAACCCAUGCUAUUACGUAUGGCAUUGCUGAGCAUUUGGCAGCGAGCCGUCAGCUCAUCCGCACAGAGGACCCCGUGGGAGUGAAGAUGGACAUGGAGAAGCUCCGAGGUUGGCUAACCAAACAUGAUAAAGGCUCUCAUCGAGCUGUUGUGUCCUUGCUUGGAUUUGGUGGUGUGGGAAAGACAACCAUUGCCAUGGCACUGUACCGAGAUUUCAGGAAUGAAUUUGAUUGCCGGGCGUCAGUCACGGUGUCUCAGAACUUCGAUGAAGAUGAAAUCCUCCGGGAUGUUCUUGGGCAAAUCAAACCAGCAAACAGUCAAAUCAAGCCAAAGGAGGAGGGGCAGGAGGGCAACAACAUAGGGAAGUUAAAGAAGAAAAACCUACUGGUAGACCUGAAAAGCUCAGUGAAGCAAGUUGUGCCACUGCUCUCUGGUGACAGGCCGCAAAGCAAUGAUGGCAGCAUGCAGAGUAAGAUAGAAACAAUGAAUCGUGACCAACUUAUCGAAGAACUCAAAAAACGCCUUCUUGGAAGGAGGUAUCUCCUGUUGAUUGAUGAUAUAUGGUCCGUAGAAACAUGGGAGACCAUUAGAAAUUGGUUACCACAUGAUAAUACAAAUGGUAGUAGAGUAAUAGUAACUACAAGAUUUCAAGCUGUUGGCGCAGCGUGCUCAGAAAGAGAUGGAACUGAUUAUGUCCAUACAGUUAAUGUUCUCAAUGAUGCCGACUCCAAAAGCCUAUUUCGUCAGAGUAUUUCUGAAUCCCCAAGCGGGAAAGAAGGUAAAGGAAUGGAUAAAAUAUCUCAAGUUGUUGGUACUGAGUCCUCCAAAGGAGAUGGAACUGAUCAUUUGCCUUCAGCGGAUGUUCCUAGUUUUUCUAAUCCACAAAGCAGGAAGGUUGGGGAGAAAGAAGAGGUCCAUGAGGAGAUAUGGAAAUACUGUGGGGGGCUGCCAUUGGCCAUAGUCACCAUGGCUGGCCUUGUUGCCUGCAACCCUAAAAAAAAGAGUGAUCAUUGGAGUAAAGUUUGCAAGUCAUUAUUUCCAGAGCAAGUGGCUCCCCUUACAUUGGAGGGGGUCACAAGGAUACUUGAUUAUUGCUACAAUGAUUUGCCAGCAGAUCUCAAGACCUGCUCAUUGUACUUGAGCAUAUUCCCCAAGGGCUCAAAAAUUAGUAAGAAGCGUCUGACCCGGAGGUGGAUAUCAGAAUGUUUUGUUUCUGAGAAGGAAGGGCUGAGUGCAGAGGAAGUUUCAGAAACAUACUUCAAUCAGCUUGUAAGAAGGAAGAUAAUACGUCCUGUGGAUCACAGCAGCAAUGGAAAGGUCAAAUCAUUUAAAGUUCAUGACAUGAUCCUUGAAUAUAUCGUGUCCAAGUCAAGUGAAGAGAAUUUUAUUACUGUUGUUGGUGGACAUUGGUUGAUGCCAACUCCUAGCAACAAAGUUCGUCGACUUUCCAUGCAAAGCAGUGGUUCCAAGCAUGGGAAUUCAACAAAAGGCAUGAACUUGUCUCAAGUGCGGUCACUGACGGCAUUUGGAAGCCAAAACCGACGACUCCCAUUCCAUUCAUUCAUUAAUGGAAUAAUACAAGUGCUUGAUCUUGAGGGCUGGAAGGGUUUGACAGAUAAGCAUUUGAAUGACAUAUGUAAAAUGCUUGUGCUGAAGUAUUUGAGCCUCAGACGGACAGAGGUUUCUGAGAUCCCAUCAAAGAUCGAGAAGCUCCAGUAUCUAGAAACUCUUGACAUAAGGGAGACAGAUGUUGGGGUGCUGCCCAAAGCUUUUGGUCAGCUCAAACAGCUCCGUAGCGUGCUUGGAGGGAACAAAAACACAAAGAAGGCUUUGAAGUUGUCACAUGAGAAGAACAAGGAGCCGAUGAAAGCACUUCGGAUCUUGUCAGGGAUUGAGAUCGGUGAGGACUCAUCAGCUGUAGCAAGCCUUCAUCAGCUGACAGGGCUAAGGAAGCUUGCCAUUUACAAGCUCAAUAUAAGGGAGGGCGGUCAGACCUUCAAACAAUUACGCUCCUCCAUUGAGUACCUCUGUAGCUGCGGUCUGCAGACAUUGGCAAUCAAUGAUGAGAGCUCUAAUUUUAUCAACUCACUAGACACCAUGACCACUCCUCCAAGAUACAUCAUCGGCCUAGAGUUGUCUGGCAAGAUGGAAAGGCCCCCACAGUGGAUCAAAGAACUCAAUAACCUCUAUAAGCUGACCCUUUCUGUAACAGUUCUUCGGACUGAAACUUUCAAGCUCAUCCAGGGCCUGCCCAAAUUGUUUACCCUCACCUUCACACUCAGCGCAGACAAGGAUGAUAGGGACAUAGUGGACAUUCUUGAGGAAAAUAAACAGCUUACGGACAGGGAGAUCAUUAUUCCACCUGGAGGAUUCAAGAGUCUAAAGCUGCUUCGCUUCUUUGCUACUCUGGUGCCGAGGCUGAGCUUUGCAGUCACAAGAGAAGAGGUAAUGCCGGCACUGGAGAGGAUCGAUAUGCGGUUUGAGGCCUUUGAAGGGAUUUACGGCAUCGAGACCCUUAAAAGCCUCCAGGAGGUGCAUCUCAGCGUUGGUAAUCAAGCAGAUGAAAUAACCAACUUCUUGGUAGAAGAUUUGAAGGACACCCCUAGGUAUUUGGACAAGAAGUAUGCCAGAAAGUGGCCAAAGAUAAUCACCGAGUGA
RNAcentral lists this ribosomal RNA (3120 nucleotides) under Triticum aestivum (bread wheat). Its description in RNAcentral is "partial small subunit ribosomal RNA". The record is from RNAcentral. Lineage: Eukaryota; Viridiplantae; Streptophyta; Magnoliopsida; Poales; Poaceae.